This 83-nucleotide small nucleolar RNA is filed under the name Tinamus guttatus (white-throated tinamou). Its description in RNAcentral is "Small nucleolar RNA SNORD103/SNORD85". It matches the Rfam family "Small nucleolar RNA SNORD103/SNORD85". From Rfam's summary of the family: This family includes the snoRNAs SNORD103 (U103) and SNORD85 (HBII-251) . The members of this family belong to the C/D class of snoRNAs which contain the C (UGAUGA) and D (CUGA) box motifs. The record is from Rfam by way of RNAcentral. Lineage: Eukaryota; Metazoa; Chordata; Aves; Tinamiformes; Tinamidae.
CCUGGCAGUGAUGACGCUCUUGCCCUCACUGGGAACACUGUUCGCUGAUGAGAGCUCUACGUACUCAGCAGAGCUGAGCCAGC